UGUAUGGUUCCCGAGCGGCCAAAGGGAGCAGACUGUAAAUCUGCCGUCAUCGACUUCGAAGGUUCGAAUCCUUCCCCCACCACCA
RNAcentral lists this transfer RNA (85 nucleotides) under Klebsiella pneumoniae. RNAcentral's name for it is "tRNA-Tyr". It matches the Rfam family "tRNA". Rfam says of the family: Transfer RNA (tRNA) molecules are approximately 80 nucleotides in length. Their secondary structure includes four short double-helical elements and three loops (D, anti-codon, and T loops). Further hydrogen bonds mediate the characteristic L-shaped molecular structure. tRNAs have two regions of fundamental functional importance: the anti-codon, which is responsible for specific mRNA codon recognition, and the 3' end, to which the tRNAs corresponding amino acid is attached (by aminoacyl-tRNA synthetases). tRNAs cope with the degeneracy of the genetic code in two manners: having more than one tRNA (with a specific anti-codon) for a particular amino acid; and 'wobble' base-pairing, i.e. permitting non-standard base-pairing at the 3rd anti-codon position. Lineage: Bacteria; Pseudomonadati; Pseudomonadota; Gammaproteobacteria; Enterobacterales; Enterobacteriaceae. The record is from RNAcentral.